This 467-nucleotide ribosomal RNA is filed under the name uncultured bacterium. Its description in RNAcentral is "partial 16S ribosomal RNA". It matches the Rfam family "Bacterial small subunit ribosomal RNA", at positions 29 to 507 of the family's 1533-position model. The record is from RNAcentral.
ACGAACGCUGGCGGCGUGCUUAACACAUGCAAGUCGCACGGAAAGGCCCUGCUUUUGUGGGGUGCUCGAGUGGCGAACGGGUGAGUAACACGUGAGUAACCUGCCCUUGACUUUGGGAUAACUUCAGGAAACUGGGGCUAAUACCGGAUAGGAGCUCCUGCUGCAUGGUGGGGGUUGGAAAGUUUCGGCGGUUGGGGAUGGACUCGCGGCUUAUCAGCUUGUUGGUGGGGUAGUGGCUUACCGAGGCUUUGACGGGUAGCCGGCCUGAGAGGGUGACCGGCCACAUUGGGACUGAGAUACGGCCCAGACUCCUACGGGAGGCAGCAGUGGGGAAUAUUGCACAAUGGGCGGAAGCCUGAUGCAGCAACGCCGCGUGCGGGAUGACGGCCUUCGGGUUGUAAACCGCUUUCGCCUGUGACGAAGCGUGAGUGACGGUAAUGGGUAAAGAAGCACCGGCCAACUACGUG